CUCUGGAAGUCUUCCAGUUACCAGAUGGAUAAACCUAUGCAUGCAGAAUAGAGAGGCUGGCUCAAGUUUAUGGUCAUCAUCUCUGCUUCGGCUCUCCUGGUGAAGGAGUACUGGGGAUAUCCAUGACCUCAUGAGUUUUGAAAGAUCAGAAUGUGCUGUGAAGACUCUGGAUCCAGCCAAUGGUUCUUUCUAUGUGUUCCAAAGGAAAAACAAAAACAAAACAAGAUGUCUAAUUCUGAUAAGAGAUGAUCCUCUCAAUAAAGCCUUGCUUGAUAAGUAUGUGUUUUCCUCUUCAAGGCAGUGCCAUCUUGGAACAUCAGAGACAGAUGAUCACCUCAUUUAUGCCUCUAUUUUCUAUUUUGAUUUCUUAUUCUCCCUCAAAAUAUAUAGUGGAAAAAAACCAUAUGAACACUAAAAAAAGCUAUAUUUGUCCAAAUAUGGACCAACCCCUCAAAUAGACCAUACCCAUUAAAAUGAGGUUUCUAAAUCUUGGUUACCAAAAAAGCUUUGCUAU
Molecule: long non-coding RNA, 514 nt
Filed under: Monodelphis domestica (gray short-tailed opossum)
Lineage: Eukaryota; Metazoa; Chordata; Mammalia; Didelphimorphia; Didelphidae
Description: lncRNA (ENSMODG00000044946.1)
Source: RNAcentral